This 722-nucleotide ribosomal RNA is filed under the name Actinomycetes bacterium. Its description in RNAcentral is "bacterial SSU rRNA". It matches the Rfam family "Bacterial small subunit ribosomal RNA", at positions 141 to 875 of the family's 1533-position model. The record is from RNAcentral. Lineage: Bacteria; Bacillati; Actinomycetota; Actinomycetes.
GGACAAGCCCUGGAAACGGGGUCUAAUACCGGAUACCACUCCUGCCCGCAUGGGUAGGGGUUGAAAGCUCCGGCGGUGAAGGAUGAGCCCGCGGCCUAUCAGCUUGUUGGUGGGGUAAUGGCCCACCAAGGCGACGACGGGUAGCCGGCCUGAGAGGGCGACCGGCCACACUGGGACUGAGACACGGCCCAGACUCCUACGGGAGGCAGCAGUGGGGAAUAUUGCACAAUGGGCGAAAGCCUGAUGCAGCGACGCCGCGUGAGGGAUGACGGCCUUCGGGUUGUAAACCUCUUUCAGCAGGGAAGAAGCGAAAGUGACGGUACCUGCAGAAGAAGCGCCGGCUAACUACGUGCCAGCAGCCGCGGUAAUACGUAGGGCGCAAGCGUUGUCCGGAAUUAUUGGGCGUAAAGAGCUCGUAGGCGGCUUGUCACGUCGGAUGUGAAAGCCCGAGGCUUAACCUCGGGUCUGCAUUCGAUACGGGCUAGCUAGAGUGUGGUAGGGGAGAUCGGAAUUCCUGGUGUAGCGGUGAAAUGCGCAGAUAUCAGGAGGAACACCGGUGGCGAAGGCGGAUCUCUGGGCCAUUACUGACGCUGAGGAGCGAAAGCGUGGGGAGCGAACAGGAUUAGAUACCCUGGUAGUCCACGCCGUAAACGUUGGGAACUAGGUGUUGGCGACAUUCCACGUCGUCGGUGCCGCAGCUAACGCAUUAAGUUCCCCGCCUG